RNAcentral lists this unclassified non-coding RNA (216 nucleotides) under uncultured Tomentella. RNAcentral's name for it is "sequence contains ITS2". The record is from RNAcentral. Lineage: Eukaryota; Fungi; Basidiomycota; Agaricomycetes; Thelephorales; Thelephoraceae.
ACACCUCAACUCUCAUGGUUUGCCAUGAUGAGCUUGGACUCUGGGGGUUUUGCUGGCCUGCGGUCAGCUCCCCUCAAAUGGAUCAGCCUCCCAGUGUUUGGUGGCAUCACAGGUGUGAUAACUAUCUACGCUUGCGAUUGCCUGCCAGGUAACCUUUGGCAACAAAGGUUCGCUGGGGCUCACAGAUGUCUCUCUUUGGAGGACGACCCUUUGAAU